Salvia hispanica is the source of this 489-nucleotide long non-coding RNA. RefSeq lists it as uncharacterized. NCBI's taxonomy places the organism in Eukaryota, Viridiplantae, Streptophyta, Magnoliopsida, Lamiales, Lamiaceae. The record is from RefSeq and is a predicted model, not a curated record.
AAGACUCAAUUAAUAGUUAACAUCAAAAAUAUGGGUGGAAAAGUAGUUUCUCUUCUAAACAUUUUGGUCUUAUUUGUUCUCAUAAUGUCUCCCCAAGUAGCUUUUGCAAGAGAACUUGCGAAGACUACCAAUAUCAAAACCGAGACGAACGCCGUUAAACCAAUAGGGGGGGGCGCUCUUAACCCCCGGAGGGGAGUCAUUAAUCCAAUCCGGGACCCAGGUUACAAGCGCCGCGAAUGUAGUUACAAGAAUCGUUGUUACGUAAGACCACCUUCCGCCCAGCCCAAACCUUAAGAAUCCAAGCCCGAACACCCAAUGUUUGAAGAGUUGAAGUACAAUACUAUUAAAUAAUUUCAAAUAAAAUAUUUCCAAACUGUAAGGUGUUUAUUAUUAUGCCGAUGUAUGUCCUUUUUUAUUUUGGUUUAGUUAAAGCAAUAUUGUGGUCCUUGUUUAAGGUUUUAUGAGUUAUAUGAGUAUGUUUUAGGUUUA